This 498-nucleotide ribosomal RNA is filed under the name uncultured bacterium. RNAcentral describes it as "partial 16S ribosomal RNA". It matches the Rfam family "Bacterial small subunit ribosomal RNA", at positions 28 to 523 of the family's 1533-position model. The record is from RNAcentral.
GAUGAACGCUAGCGGCAGGCCUAAUACAUGCAAGUCGAACGAUACCAGAGAGCUUGCUUUCUGGGAAAGUGGCGCACGGGUGCGUAACGCGUAUGCAACCUACCUUAAUCAGGGGGAUAGCCUCCCGAAAGAGAGAUUAACACCGCAUAACAUCAUUUUACGGCAUCGUAGAAUGAUCAAAUAUUUAUAGGAUUAAGAUGGGCAUGCGUGACAUUAGCUAGUUGGUGAGGUAACGGCUCACCAAGGCUACGAUGUCUAGGGGAUCUGAGAGGAUGACCCCCCACACUGGUACUGAGACACGGACCAGACUCCUACGGGAGGCAGCAGUAAGGAAUAUUGGUCAAUGGAGGCAACUCUGAACCAGCCAUGCCGCGUGCAGGAAGACGGCCCUAUGGGUUGUAAACUGCUUUUAUACGGGAAUAAACCUCUCUACGUGUAGGGAGUCGAAUGUACUGUAAGAAUAAGGAUCGGCUAACUCCGUGCCAGCCGCCGCCGUAA